GAUGAACGCUAGCUACAGGCUUAACACAUGCAAGUCGAGGGGCAGCAUGGUCUUAGCUUGCUAAGGCCGAUGGCGACCGCCGCACGGGUGAGUAACACGUAUCCAACCUGCCGUCUACUCUUGGACAGCCUUCUGAAAGGAAGAUUAAUACAAGAUGGCAUCAUGAGUCCGCAUGUUCACAUGAUUAAAGGUAUUCCGGUAGACGAUGGGGAUGCGUUCCAUUAGAUAGUAGGCGGGGUAACGGCCCACCUAGUCUUCGAUGGAUAGGGGUUCUGAGAGGAAGGUCCCCCACAUUGGAACUGAGACACGGUCCAAACUCCUACGGGAGGCAGCAGUGAGGAAUAUUGGUCAAUGGGCGAGAGCCUGAACCAGCCAAGUAGCGUGAAGGAUGACUGCCCUAUGGGUUGUAAACUUCUUUUAUAAAGGAAUAAAGUCGGGUAUGGAUACCCGUUUGCAUGUACUUUAUGAAUAAGGAUCGGCUAACUCCGUG
Molecule: ribosomal RNA, 490 nt
Filed under: uncultured bacterium
Lineage: Bacteria
Description: partial 16S ribosomal RNA
Rfam family: Bacterial small subunit ribosomal RNA
Source: RNAcentral